CAGCCGCGGGAAUACAGAGGGUGCGAGCGUUAAUCGGAUUUACUGGGCGUAAAGCGUGCGUAGGCGGCUUUUUAAGUCGGAUGUGAAAUCCCUGAGCUUAACUUAGGAAUUGCAUUCGAUACUGGGAAGCUAGAGUAUGGGAGAGGAUGGUAGAAUUCCAGGUGUAGCGGUGAAAUGCGUAGAGAUCUGGAGGAAUACCGAUGGCGAAGGCAGCCAUCUGGCCUAAUACUGACGCUGAGGUACGAAAGCAUGGGGAGCAAACAGGAUUAGAUACCCCGGUAGUCCCUGUCUCUUAUACACU
This 301-nucleotide ribosomal RNA is filed under the name uncultured bacterium. RNAcentral describes it as "partial 16S ribosomal RNA". It matches the Rfam family "Bacterial small subunit ribosomal RNA", at positions 512 to 810 of the family's 1533-position model. The record is from RNAcentral.